This 204-nucleotide unclassified non-coding RNA is filed under the name uncultured fungus. RNAcentral's name for it is "sequence contains ITS1". The record is from RNAcentral. Lineage: Eukaryota; Fungi.
UCAUGCGCACUAUGCGCGCUGGCCGGCUGGUUUUGCGGAGAUUGAGAACUCCCUCACAGGAUGAGCUCUCUCCUCGGCCAGCCCUGACCGAUACACCCAUGAUUUUUUGCGUACCUAUUGUUUCCUCGGCAGGCUUGCCUGCCAGUAGGACCCUUUUCAAAACCCAAUGCAGUUGCAGUCAGCGUCAGAUAACUUCAAUAGUUA